Molecule: non-coding RNA, 377 nt
Organism: Pelobates cultripes (western spadefoot toad)
Lineage: Eukaryota; Metazoa; Chordata; Amphibia; Anura; Pelobatidae
Source: the annotation of a GenBank genome assembly
CUCGAAGCUCUCCCGCAUCUCCUAAGCUCCCAGUGGGCUCUCAUCCCAUGGCUCCCAGACCUUACAGAAUGUCCCCGAGGAUCCCCGCAGUCUGGCCGUUAGGUCGUCCAUCAGUCUCACCUCCCUUAUUCGUGAGUAUACACUUGCCAUUUGUGGCGCUUCUGGUUGUAACCAGGUGUAUGCUAUCGCUCUCCUAGCUGCUAAGGUGAGCUUAUGGAGUAGUGUCUGCUCCCGUCUCGUCCAUCCAUCUAUUGACCUAUUGAGGAGAUAAACCCAAGGAUCUAAAGCUGGAGCUCUAGAGAAAACCUGGAUCAGAAGGUCCUUUAUGGACCCCCAAAACCCUUUAAGCCUCGGAAGUGCCUACUUCUAAAAGUGCC